Molecule: ribosomal RNA, 1154 nt
Filed under: Salmonella enterica subsp. enterica serovar Enteritidis
Lineage: Bacteria; Pseudomonadati; Pseudomonadota; Gammaproteobacteria; Enterobacterales; Enterobacteriaceae
Description: partial 23S ribosomal RNA
Rfam family: Bacterial large subunit ribosomal RNA
Source: RNAcentral
AUCUGCGAUAAGCGCCGGUAAGGUGAUAUGAACCGUUAUAACCGGCGAUACCCGAAUGGGGAAACCCAGUGUGACUCGUCACACUAUCAUUAACUGAAUCCAUAGGUUAAUGAGGCGAACCGGGGGAACUGAAACAUCUAAGUACCCCGAGGAAAAGAAAUCAACCGAGAUUCCCCCAGUAGCGGCGAGCGAACGGGGAGGAGCCCAGAGCCUGAAUCAGCAUGUGUGUUAGUGGAAGCGUCUGGAAAGGCGCGCGAUACAGGGUGACAGCCCCGUACACAAAAGCGCAUGUGCUGUGAGCUCGAUGAGUAGGGCGGGACACGUGGUAUCCUGUCUGAAUAUGGGGGGACCAUCCUCCAAGGCUAAAUACUCCUGACUGACCGAUAGUGAACCAGUACCGUGAGGGAAAGGCGAAAAGAACCCCGGCGAGGGGAGUGAAAAAGAACCUGAAACCGUGUACGUACAAGCAGUGGGAGCACCCUUUGGGUGUGACUGCGUACCUUUUGUAUAAUGGGUCAGCGACUUAUAUUCUGUAGCAAGGUUAACCGAAUAGGGGAGCCGGAGGGAAACCGAGUCUUAAUUGGGCGUUAAGUUGCAGGGUAUAGACCCGAAACCCGGUGAUCUAGCCAUGGGCAGGUUGAAGGUUGGGUAACACUAACUGGAGGACCGAACCGACUAAUGUUGAAAAAUUAGCGGAUGACCUGUGGCUGGGGGUGAAAGGCCAAUCAAACCGGGAGAUAGCUGGUUCUCCCCGAAAGCUAUUUAGGUAGCGCCUCGUGAAUUCAUCUCCGGGGGUAGAGCACUGUUUCGGCUAGGGGGCCAUCCCGGCUUACCAACCCGAUGCAAACUGCGAAUACCGGAGAAUGUUAUCACGGGAGACACACGGCGGGUGCUAACGUCCGUCGUGAAGAGGGAAACAACCCAGACCGCCAGCUAAGGUCCCAAAGUCAUGGUUAAGUGGGAAACGAUGUGGGAAGGCCCAGACAGCCAGGAUGUUGGCUUAGAAGCAGCCAUCAUUUAAAGAAAGCGUAAUAGCUCACUGGUCGAGUCGGCCUGCGCGGAAGAUGUAACGGGGCUAAACCAUGCACCGAAGCUGCGGCAGCGACACUGUGUGUUGUUGGGUAGGGGAGCGUUCUGUAAGCCUGCGAAGGUGG